AAGGAGCUACAUUUUAGCUCUUGUUGGUUUUCAUUAAUUUAAGCAUAAAAGUAACUAGCCACAGGUGGCUCAUGGCUACCAUCAUGGAGAAUAUAAAUCUAUUAGAAGGACCACAAGCUACGGGGACUUCAGGGAGCAGACAGAUAACAUCAGAGUGCAGAGGUCAUCCUCUGAGCGUUCAGCCUAGUCUUGGUAUACAAGCUGCACUCAAAGCCAACUGAACUCCAUGGUGAAGAGAAUUAUCUUUGGCAUCCCACAGUAAGGACUCAGACUUCUUUGCUUCUUAGGACCUCAUCUGCAAAGUUGACUAUGCAGAGCAGGUUUAAAUCAGAAUUCCUUCAUUGGUUCAACAAACGUGUGUUCCAUGUGCCUACUUUAUGGAAGUACUACUUGGGACACCAUUGAUCCUGAAUUUAUCCCACAGCGUUCGAAGAAUCUUCAUUGUUUGCUCUGUUAGAGAUGAGAGACGCUGUUUAAUUCUUCCAUGUAAUUUCUCGUCCUUUUCUGAAACUAUUCCCUCAAUAAUCUCACAUGAUUGAAGAAAAAACUCUUUAUCCUGUAGUUUUAAAAAAACAAAGAACAUUUUAAAUAAAUGUGAAAUUACUACGAGAAACCAUGAGCUACUUGAAUUCCUUAGAAAG
This 641-nucleotide long non-coding RNA is filed under the name Chinchilla lanigera (long-tailed chinchilla). RNAcentral describes it as "lncRNA (ENSCLAG00000028728.1)". The record is from RNAcentral. Lineage: Eukaryota; Metazoa; Chordata; Mammalia; Rodentia; Chinchillidae.